Pseudophryne corroboree (corroboree frog) is the source of this 615-nucleotide long non-coding RNA. RefSeq lists it as uncharacterized. The record is from RefSeq and is a predicted model, not a curated record. The transcript has 5 exons. Lineage: Eukaryota; Metazoa; Chordata; Amphibia; Anura; Myobatrachidae.
UCACUGUGGCUGGCCCCGCCCACCAUAGUCUGAGUAGUCUGCGUGUAUCAGGCCAGUUUCCUCUUCCUGCUCCCUUACUGGUCCUCAUUGUGACUGCACUGGGCUGCCUGCUCCCACCUCACUGUCUCAGGGUCGGCUCCUGCUCUUCAGGAAGGAGCAGUGAAUCAACAAUCUCCACAUAGCCACUUCUCCACCCACACAGCUGAUGGCUUUCUUGUUUACAUAUUUGCGGACUGUCCCCGAUUUUGAGGCGCCCGCGGUGAGGGCCGGGGAGAUAAGUCGGAGGUAUCCUGCAGCUGGCCCGGCAAAUUGACGCGUCACCAGGGAAACGGGACGCGUCGCCAAGGUAACUACAGCGGAUGCCGCCUGACGUCACCGGACGUGACGCACUCGCGACUGCGGCUGGCGGAAGCUCACGCCGGACCCGGCUCUCCCGUGGGGUAGCGACUUGUCUCCUAUUUAGCCGGCGCCAGUAUACAUUCCUUUUCCAUGAUCCGGAACAAGCAGACACCGCUGCGCCAGAGAGGCAAACCUUGCAGAUGUAGCAAAUGAAGACUUGGGGCAACGGAUUUCAUGGUGAACUUUCAAAGGCAUAAAAUCAAAAUAAAGCUACAA